This 631-nucleotide long non-coding RNA is filed under the name Vigna radiata. RNAcentral describes it as "long non-coding RNA (VRAD_LNC001019)". Lineage: Eukaryota; Viridiplantae; Streptophyta; Magnoliopsida; Fabales; Fabaceae. The record is from RNAcentral.
CUCUAGCCACCUUCCAAGCACCUUUCUCACUUCCAUUUUCCACUCCACGAGUGCUUCUCUCUCAUCACAUUACAUCACCUUUGCAUCAGUCCACUUCAGACCAGUGGCGUCAGCGUACCUCAACCACGCGUCCUCCUGCUUCUCGUGCCAGCAUCACUACGACUUCAUUUCUCCUUCGUACGCAUCAGAUCCACAUUCGCAGAACCACAUUCCAUUUCUCUCUCACGCGAACACAACUUCGUUUUCUCUCGAGAGAGCUCACCUUCAUCGCCUACCAUAUUUUCCUCACUGUAAGUCUUGAUUUCAGUCACAGAAUCAUCAUCUUCUUCAUAGUUCCUCCAUCUUAUCCUGUUGUCUUCCAUAAACACCGAAUAGAACUCUGGCCUCCGCUAGGGUUUCUCCAUCUUUCAUCGUUUUUUUUUUUAUUUUAGCCGAUUAAACUCUCUAUUGAACCGAUCCAAACCUUUUUCACCGAUUAAACUUUGAUUCCCACCGUUUAAUUGGUCCAAAUUGAGUUUUCCCCUUCUUCUAGGGUUUCGUCGGUCUAGGAUUAGGUACUCUGAGUUCCUUUCUCAGAUUUGAUCCGUUCUCUUCCAAUUUCUCUCGGUCAAAAGAGUAUUCAAGUUUUCCG